GCCCUCCGUCUUCCGUCUUCCGUCUCCCGUCUACUCCUCGACUCACUAAUCAUGCACGCCUCCCUCGAGCGACCGGUCGUCAGUCCGCGCGCCUUUCCAGAGGUCGUUGUCGACCGCAUCUGGCGGUUUUUCUGUUCCGUGCGCGCCGCGGUCGCUGAGAUCGCGUUCCUGGCGUUGCUCGUUCUGAUUGGCACGUUGCGCGGCAGCUCAGUGCCUCAAACCGUCGCCGACGUCAUCCCACCGACGGCUCCGCUCGUCGAGCGGUGGUACGACUGGGACGUCUUCCACUCGUUGCCCUUCGCGGGCAUUCUCACCCUUCUGGCAGUCGCCAUCACGGUCUGCACCAUGAAUCGAGCU
RNAcentral lists this unclassified non-coding RNA (357 nucleotides) under uncultured bacterium. Its description in RNAcentral is "contains 16S-23S intergenic spacer region". The record is from RNAcentral.